GAAAACACCUGGAGCUCACACCUGUGGCCCACCAGGGCUGGGACGUGGCAUUUCCCAGCAGGAGGGACUGAUGGAGACUGAGUGAGCUGAGCUACAGCUCACGACAAGGACUUUCUGAAUUUGCCAUCUCUUCAGAAGAGCAAGAGAAAUCUUUUCCUGAACCAGUUGAGAGGGGCCACUUAAAUCUACUUUCUAGAGAGACCCCUUUGGAAGUUUCCUCCCAAAGUUGCCCCAAACCAGGAUACCACCAGACCACCAGAAAUGAGAAGAAACAUGGAGUGUUGACCUCAGUGUCUUUAGUGGGCAAAAUGGUGAAAAAACAAAAUACAGAUCUGGAGUUUAUUGCGAAGCAUGCAUGAAUUGCUUAACUGGAAUAGUAAUUAAUAUAAUUUUUAAAUGAGGUAAGGAUCUAUUGAGCUGGAAGAGAAUUCUGGAGUCACUUCUGCUGCAUAAGAACCUUUGCAGUCAAACCACAGUAUCUUUAAGCAGUUCUGAUGUGCAUGUUUUAGGUUAUUGUUUUUGUGGAACCUUGUGGUUAUUUUAAACUCUGUAACGUCACAUCUUAAGGUUAAAGUUUCUACAACUUAACUUUUAUGUUUUAUGUUUUUUAAAUUUAAACCCAUAUUUGCUAUGCUGUUAGCACUUUAGGGAGUAAACCCCACUGAAGUUAGUAGGAAGUCACUAGGAAGCUGUCCCUAUAAAUAGGCUCUGGAGUAGGACACGAUUGUGUAGUGGCUGCAGGAGCACGGAGGUGUUUGCAACAAAUUCUAAAGAAAGUUCGACUGGUAAAUUUUACACUUUUUAAACACUCCUUAGCUUGUCUUUUAGAUUCUGGAGAGGCUGGUUAAUUUAAUUAGACUUGUCUAAUGCAUCUAAACAUGCUCAGUGGGGAAUCUGCUGCCUGGAGGACUUGGUUACAGAAGUCCGCUUAUUGUGAGACUGAAAGGACUGCAGAGAUCCAACGGGAGAACUGCUUCCCGAGGUCUGCUUGCAUUGUUUCAAACAGCUGAUGAAAGAAGUGCUGCUGCUUUGGGAGUCUGCCAUGCAGACAGAACACUAUAUAUGGCAAAAGAAUUAUUUUUGUUUGAUAAAAGGAUGGAGACUGUGUGAGGCUGGUGCAGUCUCACUGGGCAGAAGUACAGUGGGUUUUGUUUAUUUAAUUAAAAACGGAAUCUCAUUGACGCUAUCAGUGGCUCAGCUUCCAUGUAUUUUCUCUGUGCUUGGCCUGAAAAGCAGUCCUCUGAAAACAAAGGAGCUGAGGCAUGCGGCUCAGGGUAAGGCAGGGAAGGAGAAUUGGCUCUCAGGGGUGGUAGGAUCUGGUGAACUUGUGACUGCUGUGCCAGUACAGAAAUAGCAGACUUGUGGUUGAAUCCUCUAAGGUCUGCGAGGCAAUGGAUUUCUAGCAUAAGGCCAAAUAACUUCAUUUGCCAUGCUGGGAUUAUCAAGCUGUGAGCCAUGUCUUGUUGGUGACUUUUUUUCUUUAUUUAUUUUGGUUGUUUUUUGAGUGUUUUUGUCAUGAAAACUAGAGGGCACUCAAAACUAAAUUCCUGUCUCUAAUUUACCAUUCUAGGAAAAUUCCAUUUCCUAGAACUGCUAAACUGCAAGAGGAGAAUGGGGAACUGACAGAAUGGCCACAGUAAACAACUGGGCACCCUUGGACCUCCUUUCCCUUUCUCUUCAGACUUUUUUUUUUU
Molecule: non-coding RNA, 1694 nt
Organism: Sturnus vulgaris (Common starling)
Lineage: Eukaryota; Metazoa; Chordata; Aves; Passeriformes; Sturnidae
Source: RefSeq, a predicted model, not a curated record